GGAUGAACGCUAGCUACAGGCUUAACACAUGCAAGUCGAGGGGAAACGACAUCGAAAGCUUGCUUUUGAUGGGCGUCGACCGGCGCACGGGUGAGUAACGCGUAUCCAACCUGCCCAUCACUUGGGAAUAACCUUGCGAAAGUAAGACUAAUACCCAAUGAUAUCCCACGAAGGCAUCGGAAUGGGAUUAAAGAUUUAUCGGUGAUGGAUGGGGAUGCGUCUGAUUAGCUUGUUGGCGGGGUAACGGCCCACCAAGGCAACGAUCAGUAGGGGUUCUGAGAGGAAGGUCCCCCACAUUGGAACUGAGACACGGUCCAAACUCCUACGGGAGGCAGCAGUGAGGAAUAUUGGUCAAUGGGCGAGAGCCUGAACCAGCCAAGUAGCGUGCAGGAAGACGGCCCUAUGGGUUGUAAACUGCUUUUAUAAGGGAAUAAAGUGGGUCACGUGUGACUUUUUGCAUGUACCUUAUGAAUAAGGACCGGCUAAUUCCGUG
RNAcentral lists this ribosomal RNA (493 nucleotides) under uncultured bacterium. RNAcentral's name for it is "partial 16S ribosomal RNA". It matches the Rfam family "Bacterial small subunit ribosomal RNA", at positions 27 to 507 of the family's 1533-position model. The record is from RNAcentral.